GAAAUCUCCAUGGAAGAGACCGUAACCUGAGGACAGAGAGCUUAUCCAGGUCAUCAAACGCCUUUCUUGGAGAAGCUCUGCCAGCACAGAACUCUCUGUUCCUGGGGACCCGAGGCUGAGCUGGCUCUCCCGCCCGAUCGAUGGAUGACUUCACAAAGACUGACGCCUACCAGGCACCACGACGGUCCUCAGGGAGGUCUAACGCUGCUCUUGGGACCGCUGCCCACCCUUGCCCCCUGGCUGACCUCUGCUGGGUGGCAGAGCACUCGUAGGGGAGGGGCACAUGCCACUGGCUGGGUGACCUUGGGCCAGACUGAACCUCAGCUUUCUCCCGCACGAAAUGGGAGUACCUGGCUAGCCCAUGCUCCCCUCACAGGGAAGUGGUCAGGAAAUAAAGUGCUAAGAAGACA
Herpailurus yagouaroundi (jaguarundi) is the source of this 410-nucleotide long non-coding RNA. RefSeq lists it as uncharacterized. NCBI's taxonomy places the organism in Eukaryota, Metazoa, Chordata, Mammalia, Carnivora, Felidae. The record is from RefSeq and is a predicted model, not a curated record. The transcript has 2 exons.